Molecule: ribosomal RNA, 497 nt
Filed under: uncultured bacterium
Lineage: Bacteria
Description: partial 16S ribosomal RNA
Rfam family: Bacterial small subunit ribosomal RNA
Source: RNAcentral
GAUGAACGCUGGCGGCGUGCCUAAUACAUGCAAGUCGAGCGAACAGAUGAGGAGCUUGCUCCUCUGACGUUAGCGGCGGACGGGUGAGUAACACGUGGAUAACCUACCUAUAAGACUGGGAUAACUUCGGGAAACCGGAGCUAAUACCGGAUAAUAUAUUGAACCGCAUGGUUCAAUAGUGAAAGACGGUUUUGCUGUCACUUAUAGAUGGAUCCGCGCCGGAUUAGCUAGUUGGUAAGGUAACGGCUUACCAAGGCAACGAUGCGUAGCCGACCUGAGAGGGUGAUCGGCCACACUGGAACUGAGACACGGUCCAGACUCCUACGGGAGGCAGCAGUGGGGAAUCUUCCGCAAUGGGCGAAAGCCUGACGGAGCAACGCCGCGUGAGUGAUGAAGGUCUUCGGAUCGUAAAACUCUGUUAUUAGGGAAGAACAAAUGUGUAAGUAACUAUGCACGUCUUGACGGUACCUAAUCAGAAAGCCACGGCUAACUACGUG